This is a long non-coding RNA of Heterocephalus glaber (naked mole-rat), 923 nucleotides long. NCBI's taxonomy places the organism in Eukaryota, Metazoa, Chordata, Mammalia, Rodentia, Bathyergidae. The record is from Ensembl.
GCUGAAAGAGGAAGACCAUGCAGUCUUGCCUCAGAGCUAACAACUAGGGACAGAAACAUGAGCCAAAAUAAACUUUCUGGAUCUAUUUCAAAGGUACAACUAAGAGGACUUGGGAUGUCAUGGGUGAAGAAGAGGGAAGGACAUGGAGGAAUCAAAGAGGCCAGUUGAACUCCAGAGACCUGGUGCCUUCAGAAGAGCAGGAUGUACAGGUGGGCUAGUUGCUGAGUAUUUCAGAUGAGAAGGCCCCAAAUCAGGAACAGAGUGAUUGCCUGUCACCGAGAGUGUGAAGAAUAGCUCAAGCAGCACAUCACAAGAAUAGGUGAAAUUCUUUUGAAGUUUCCCAUUAAAAUUCAUGUCUAUUUACAUUCAACUUUAAGAACUGUGCUUCGUGAUUCCCUUGAAGUAUCUGGCAAUGAAUCUGGAACAACAGAGGGAAUAGGCCUUGAGAAGGGAUGAUGUAAAGUAUUGUGAUGCUCCGACCAUUGCAUCUGGCACUAGCACACAAAGGGACUCUUCGUGUAAGGUCUGGGUUCACAAGAGUCGAUGAACUUUUCCCCUCAUCAGUGUUGAUAGGAGGACCAUCAAUGUUUUCUCUCUCUCCCACAGCCCAAUGAAUGUCAGGCCCCCAGCUUGUUAACUGCUGAUUUGGCCAUCAUUAGUCCCUGCUCCAGCUGACGGCCCAUUUAUCUUGCCUUCACACAUCACCAUGCCAACAGAUGAUGGUAUAUAGGUAUUCUUCUAUUACGCCUAAGUAGCACUUUGAAGCAUGUUUCAACUUAAAGUGACACACAAAUCUAACUUCCCUUGUCCUUUAAUUUGACUCAGUGGUAGCACUAUGGGAAUAACAGACAAUGCAUAGCCUAUUAGCAAUUAUAGUGUGAAUCACUGUUACAUUCUGUCAUCUUGGUAUUUAUUUAAUGCAG